This is a long non-coding RNA of Ictalurus punctatus (channel catfish), 1813 nucleotides long. Lineage: Eukaryota; Metazoa; Chordata; Actinopteri; Siluriformes; Ictaluridae. The record is from Ensembl.
CCAUUUGUCUCCCCAUUUCGGUUACCUGCCAAUUCCAACCCACCAAUCGGCUCUCACCUAUCUUAUAACAGCUACCGUUCAGUGAGGGUGAAAGCUAACCCGUGCUUCCUCCAAGACGUAUGAGGCCAGAUGCAUCUUUUCCAACUGCUGCUCAUGUUGUACCAAAAGUUGUAUCAUGUUGUAACAUUUCCACAGUAAAGCACUAUCUACCCUGUUCCACUGUUUUUACAUGAGCUCACAGACUGUUCAACGUCACUGUGAUUGACAGGGGAGAUAGAGUGUAUCAUCCCGCCCUCCGUCCCUGAGACCACGGCCAAUUUUGCUCUCUUGGACUCCGGCAACGGAUGACUGUCGCAUCAUCAGGAUUCGAACUCUCUGGAAAACAGACCGCUGUUGCCCUGUGAUAUUCCAAGUCUGUUCCUCUGUAAAUCCCAGUCCACCAGCAUACAAAUAUCCUAUUGGUUCAGGAUUUGCAUCAAGUUCCAGUAUUCUCUGAAUGAAAAUUUAAUGAUGGAGAAACGAACUAUGUGUGAGCACGUGCUAUGGGCAAACAUGGAUCAGGAUCGAGUGGAAGAGAGAGGAAACCUGGGUGAAACGUCUGCGUGCAGAAUAUGUUCAGAGGCUGAUGGAGCUGGAUGCUGCUGUGAAUCAUCACAAGUAUAUUUAUGUUGACGAGGCGGGCUUUAAUCUGGUAACAUUAUUGGCCAACAGGCAACCAUCCAAGUGCCUGGACAACGUGGGGGAAACAUCUCAAUGUGUGCGGCUAUAUGUGAAGAUGGUGUGGUAGGCCGUAGACCUACGUUCUUGGAUUAUACAACACUGAACACCAGAAAGCUUUUCUAAAUGAACUUGAGUAGGCCUGUCAGUGUGAAGAAAGACAUCAGGUAUGUUAUUGUGUGGGACAAUGUCAGCUUCCAUCAUGCAGAGCUGGUUCGGGAAUGGUUUCAGGCUCAUUCUCGGUUCAUGACCUUAUAUCUCCCACGAUACUCUCCUUUCCUCAACCCAACAGAGGAAUUCUUCUCUACUUGGAGGUGGAAGGUGUAUGAUCGCCAUCCCUAUGAGCAUGUCGUCCUCCUUCAAGCCAUGGAUGAGGCUUGCAAUGACAUAACUGCAGAGAAAUGUCAAGCGUGGACUCGUCAUGCCAGAAGGUUUUUCCCAUGGUGCAUGAACAACGAGGAUCUUCAGUGUGUUGAUGAAAAUUUUUGACCAAAUGUUGAAGACAGGCUUGAUGUUAAUUAAUCUGAGAUUAUCUCCAUUUACAGUAAAUUGUUUAUGUUUUUUUGUUUCACAAUGCAACCAGAGUAUUGGUUAAAAAAAAAAAAAUACUGUAAAAUAAAAUAUUUUUCCUGCAUAAUUGACAUUUGAUGUGUAUUUUGAUCAUAUUUUACUUGUAUAAAUAAAAUAUCAAUUUUAUUAUGGCUUUUGUCAGUUUGCUUGGAUGAUGUAAGUGUAAUAUCUAUUGUGAUGACUGUGUACAGUAAAGUAACAGUCAUUCAGAACCAAGGGUGAUUUAAAAUGUGCAUCUUGCAUUGUUUUCUGGUGAAUUAACUGACUGUUAAAAGUGCUAAAUUAAAAUAAGAUCAUACGGUUGCGUUUUGGUGAUUACAAUAAAUGUUCUCAUUACAUGUUACAAUAAUCUUGUGUUUUGAAACAAUGAUUUAAUGGAAAGAAAAUAUGUAACUGAAAUCAGAUCAGGUUUGAAUCAGUCAUUAUUGCAUUAGAACGACUAACUGUGAAACAAGUGUGAUCAAUUUGGAGUCUUGUACUAAGAGUUUUGAAAAAUUACCCCUUACUUGUGAAAAUAGUUCGAAAG